RNAcentral lists this ribosomal RNA (409 nucleotides) under uncultured bacterium. Its description in RNAcentral is "bacterial SSU rRNA". It matches the Rfam family "Bacterial small subunit ribosomal RNA", at positions 505 to 916 of the family's 1533-position model. The record is from RNAcentral.
GUGUCAGUAGCCGCGGUAAUACGGAGGAUCCGAGCGUUAUCCGGAUUUAUUGGGUUUAAAGGGAGCGUAGGCGGAUGUUUAAGUCAGUUGUGAAAGUUUAAGGCUCAACCUUGAAAUUGCAGUUGCUACUGGACGUCUUGAGUGCAUUAAAUGUGGGGGGAAUUGGUGGUGUAGCGGUGAAAUGCUUAGAUAUCACGAAGAAAUCCAGUUGCAAAGGCAGCGUACAGGACUGUAGCUGACGCUGAUGCUCGAAAGUGUGGGGAUCAAACAGGAUUAGAUACCCUGGUAGUCCACGCCGUAAACGAUGAACACUAGAUGUUUGCGAUAUACAGUCAGUGGCCAAGCGAAAGUGUUAAGUAAUCCACCUGGGGAGUACGGCGGCAAGGGUAAAACUCAAAGGAAUUGGCGG